This 380-nucleotide ribosomal RNA is filed under the name Fusarium proliferatum. RNAcentral's name for it is "eukaryotic LSU rRNA". The stretch from base 9 to 162 matches the Rfam family "5.8S ribosomal RNA". The record is from RNAcentral. Lineage: Eukaryota; Fungi; Ascomycota; Sordariomycetes; Hypocreales; Nectriaceae.
UAAAUCAAAACUUUCAACAACGGAUCUCUUGGUUCUGGCAUCGAUGAAGAACGCAGCAAAAUGCGAUAAGUAAUGUGAAUUGCAGAAUUCAGUGAAUCAUCGAAUCUUUGAACGCACAUUGCGCCCGCCAGUAUUCUGGCGGGCAUGCCUGUUCGAGCGUCAUUUCAACCCUCAAGCCCCCGGGUUUGGUGUUGGGGAUCGGCGAGCCCUUGCGGCAAGCCGGCCCCGAAAUCUAGUGGCGGUCUCGCUGCAGCUUCCAUUGCGUAGUAGUAAAACCCUCGCAACUGGUACGCGGCGCGGCCAAGCCGUUAAACCCCCAACUUCUGAAUGUUGACCUCGGAUCAGGUAGGAAUACCCGCUGAACUUAAGCAUAUCAAUAA